Molecule: ribosomal RNA, 914 nt
Filed under: uncultured Bacteroidota bacterium
Lineage: Bacteria; Pseudomonadati; Bacteroidota
Description: bacterial SSU rRNA
Rfam family: Bacterial small subunit ribosomal RNA
Source: RNAcentral
CUUUGAUUAUGGCUCAGGAUGAACGCUAGCUACAGGCUUAACACAUGCAAGUCGAGGGGCAGCGGGAUUGAAGCUUGCUUCAAUUGCCGGCGACCGGCGCACGGGUGAGUAACGCGUAUCCAACCUUCCGUACACUCAGGGAUAGCCUUUCGAAAGAAAGAUUAAUACCUGAUAGUAUCUUAAGCACACAUGUAAUUAAGAUUAAAGAUUUAUCGGUGUACGAUGGGGAUGCGUUCCAUUAGGUAGUAGGCGGGGUAACGGCCCACCUAGCCAACGAUGGAUAGGGGUUCUGAGAGGAAGGUCCCCCACAUUGGAACUGAGACACGGUCCAAACUCCUACGGGAGGCAGCAGUGAGGAAUAUUGGUCAAUGGACGAGAGUCUGAACCAGCCAAGUAGCGUGAAGGAUGAAGGUCCUACGGAUUGUAAACUUCUUUUAUAAGGGAAUAAACCCUCCCACGUGUGGGAGCUUGUAUGUACCUUAUGAAUAAGCAUCGGCUAACUCCGUGCCAGCAGCCGCGGUAAUACGGAGGAUGCGAGCGUUAUCCGGAUUUAUUGGGUUUAAAGGGAGCGCAGACGGGUCGUUAAGUCAGCUGUGAAAGUUUGGGGCUCACCCUUAAAAUUGCAGUUGAUACUGGCGUCCUUGAGUGCGGUUGAGGUGUGCGGAAUUCGUGGUGUAGCGGUGAAAUGCUUAGAUAUCACGAAGAACUACGAUUGCGAAGGCAGCACACUAAUCCGUAACUGACGUUCAUGCUCGAAAGUGUGGGUAUCAAACAGGAUUAGAUACCCUGGUAGUCCACACGGUAAACGAUGGAUACUCGCUGUUGGCGAUAUACUGUCAGCGGCUUAGCGAAAGCGUUAAGCAUCCCACCUGGGGAGUACGCCGGCAACGGUGCAACUCAAAUGAAUUGACGGA